UCUAACAGUGUGCUUUUUAUUUUACAUUGAUUGUUCUGUGUGCAAUCCUCACCCUUUUGCCCUGAGAUACAUUUUUCUUACGUUGUUUUGAUGCAUUUAAUUCAUGAAAAUACAGUGGAAAUAUUUUAACAAAACCGAAGUUUGAAUUUGUUAAAUGAAUCUGAAAUGUUUGGAUAAGGAAGCAGUGUGUCAUUUUUUUUUUUUUUUUUUUUUUUUUUUUUUUGCUGUCAUUUGGAUUUAAAUUUGUCUGAGGAGUAUGGAGUCAUACAGCCCAAAAUAAGUUGUUUCCUCUCCCUUGUCCACAGUCCCCUUCCAUAAGGAGUUGGCAAGAGAUUAAACAGACUGGCACCCAGAAGUCUAGUGGAUAAUAUACAAGAAACACCUCAUGGAGAAUGUUAAAGUAGUAGAAUCUAGCGCAGAGUGUUUACGUACAGUCUAAAGCCCAGUGUAAACUUUCCAGUAACACUUUACUUAAAGCUGACAGGUAAAAUACUUUAUUAUUUGCUGAAUACAUAUAUGAUCCUUCAUAAUGUCUUUAUAAGACUUAAAAAUCCAAGGGUAGGUAGAAUGUUUUAAGAAGUAAUGUCUUCCUGGUGUGGUAAUACACAGUAUUUAGCCAAUUUAAAAGGUCUGUCCGGCACUAUACAGCACAGUUUAUAUGUUCCAUUACACAGCAAUUCUUCAAAUUUUGCAUUUCUCCAUAUGACCACAUGGUGUCAUUCUUAAUGCAGGUACUGGCAGACUUCUUCACAUGCCACAACAUUGAGUGUGGAGCUCUUAUCCAAUGUUGGAUUCUGGGGUGUGAAGAAGUGGAAUUCAUUUUGUGCACAGAAUGCUGUAGAAACCAUGUGGAACGUCUCUGAGGAAUAGUUUGGCCCCGAGCUGACAAGGUAAAAUUCUGUCGUUCUACCCACUGUUCCCCGGGCGCCGUGGAUGUCGAUUCAAGGCAGCUUCCCGCACCUCUCUGAUUCAGAGGGGUUGGGUUAAAUGUGGAAUAGACAUUUCAGUUGAAUGCAUUCAGUUGUACAACUGACUAGGUAUCCCCCUUUCCCUAUACAACUGACUAGGUGUCCCCCUUUCCCUAUACAACUGACUAGGUAUCCCCCUUUCCCUAUACAACUGACUAGGUAUCCCCCUUUCCCUAUACAACUGACUAGGUGUCCCCCUUUCCCUAUACAACUGACUAGGUAUCCCCCUUUCCCUAUACAACUGACUAGGUGUCCCCCUUUCCCUAUACAACUGACUAGGUGUCCCCCUUUCCCUAUACAACUGACUAGGUAUCCCCCUUUCCCUAUACAACUGACUAGGUAUCCCCCUUUCCCUAUACAACUGACUAGGUGUCCCCC
Molecule: long non-coding RNA, 1346 nt
Organism: Oncorhynchus tshawytscha (Chinook salmon)
Lineage: Eukaryota; Metazoa; Chordata; Actinopteri; Salmoniformes; Salmonidae
Source: Ensembl